AUCUCUGGGGACAUCGUGAUGACUCAGCCUCCAGGCUCCCUGGCUGUGUCUGCAGGAGAGAGGGUCACCAUCAACUGCAAGUCCAGCCAGAGUGUUCUGCAGAGCUCCAACCAGAAGAACUACUUAGGCUGGUACCAGCAGAAGCCUGGACAGGCUCUGAAACUGCUCAUCUCCUGGGCAUCCACCUGGGCAUCUGGGAUCCAUGACAGGUUCAGUGGCAGUGGGUCUGGGACAGACUUCACUCUCACCAUCAGCAGCGCACAGGCUGAGGAUGUGGCAGCUUAUUACUGCCAGCAGCAUUAUAGCUAUCCUCCCACAGUGCUUCAGCCUCCAACACAAACCUCAUCUCCAGGGCAUCCCCAGGGCCACAGGCCAGUGCAUCUCUGCUGUCCCAGCUGCACCCUUCCUGCUCAGCCCUGUGUCCCCACAGCUUGAUGAGAGGCUGGCCUGGUGGCUCUAUCUUGCAACAAUAAAGAUUAGCCUGUCCUGUGUCUCUUGCACAGGGAAGUCAUUCUAGGAAGUCUCUAUAAUGACCUGCUGUGGAUCCUUCUCUCCACUGUCCCAGAUGUUUUGCAUCACUUGAAAUUGUGCUGUCUCUACAGAUGAAUUUAUAUUCUUGACACAGCAAUGAUUUCAACUGCAUCUUGUGAAGAAGGGCUUAGUGUUCAUCACCCUGAUGGAUCAACUGUCCCUGCUCUGUGCCUGAUGACUCUGAACUUCCCAUUUUAUUCAUUUCUGUGUCCCACAUUCUCAUUAUCCCUUCUUGGCCUUGGGAGCUUCCCAGGGUGCAAUGCUCAGUCCCUUAUUGUCAAGUGCUUCCCCAUCAGACCUUUGUCUACUUCUCUAACUCAUCUGUCCCCAGCAUGCUAAGCAUUUCCUUUUCUGAGUCUCCACAUUUUCACCUGAUGGUUUCUGUUUCUGAACUAGCUUCUUUACUCCAUUCCAUUCUUCUUGGUCCUUCAUAUUUUAAAAAUAACAUUCUCAUAUUCCAUUUCUUCCUUGUGCUGUUUUUACAAUUAUAGAUCCCAGUGCUCUAUAUCCUUGACAGCACGGCAGCCAUAGCUGUGAACUCUAUAUGUGUGCCACCAUCUCUGUGACUUUGAUGUAUGAAUCAUUGAUAACCUACUGACUUUGAAAAAUUAAAUCUAAGCCAUAGUUUUUAAAAUCUUAUGUUGCCCAACCUCACUCUCUUGUUAGAUACCAUUAUCAGUAUGCUUAUGUCAUACCACCUGUAGGUAGUGUUCUAGAUGACCAACAAGUGAUAGAACAUUUAGUGGGCUGCACUGUGACUCUUGUGUCUAUGGGGACAUGCUGAGAAAGUGGUCUCCAAAUGCUGGCUUAAUGACCAGUAUUCAGGCAAUAAAAGAGUAAUUUAGGGAUGCUGUUAAGAUGCAGGA
Non-coding RNA from Manis pentadactyla (Chinese pangolin), 1397 nucleotides. NCBI's taxonomy places the organism in Eukaryota, Metazoa, Chordata, Mammalia, Pholidota, Manidae. The record is from the annotation of a RefSeq genome assembly.